ACUCCUACGGGAGGCAGCAGGCGGGAAUAUUGGGCAAUGGACGAAAGUCUGACCCAGCGACGCCGCGUGAGGGAUGAAGCUUCUCGGAGCGUAAACCUCAGACGGAUAGGGACGAAAAGCCUAUCGGCUAAUAUCCGGUAGGCCUGACGGUACCUGUUACGAAGCUCCGGCUAACUCCGUGCCAGCAGCCGCGGUAAUACGGGGGGAGCGAGCGUUGUUCGGAAUUACUGGGCGUAAAGGGCGUCUAGGCGGGUCGGUCAGUCAGAAGUGAAAACUCCCGGCUUAACUGGGAGCCUGCUUUUGAAACUGCCGGUCUUGAGUGUGGAAGAGGUGCGGGGAAUUCUCAGUGUAGCGGUGAAAUGCGUAGAUAUUGGGAAGAACACCAGUGGCGAAGGCGGCUCACUGGACCAGAAUUGACGCUGAGGCACGAAAGCGUGGGGAGCAAACCAGGAUUAGAUACCCUGGUAGUC
This 470-nucleotide ribosomal RNA is filed under the name uncultured bacterium. Its description in RNAcentral is "bacterial SSU rRNA". It matches the Rfam family "Bacterial small subunit ribosomal RNA", at positions 335 to 795 of the family's 1533-position model. The record is from RNAcentral.